RNAcentral lists this unclassified non-coding RNA (2388 nucleotides) under Hevea brasiliensis (rubber tree). The record is from RNAcentral. Lineage: Eukaryota; Viridiplantae; Streptophyta; Magnoliopsida; Malpighiales; Euphorbiaceae.
GGCUCAUUAACCAUCCAUCAGGUCAACCUCUAAGCCAGUAAGACAAACUAUUGUAUAAACUUCAGCGCAUUACGGGUAUUGUCGAUUACAUUACUAGGCAAGACAAUAAAUAAAAUCAUGAAGAACCACACAGGAAACUGUUGAGAAUAUAGUUGAAUUUGUUUGGUCUUUCAAUUUGUGGAACAUGAGAUGCAUCCUUUAUUGAUUCCAACUUCACAUUCUUCCCAAUCAACCUGUCAAGUUAAUGAGAAAAAUCAAUGCAACUCUGUAACUUUGUCAUUUUUCAACUUUUAAUUGAUAAAAGCACAUAUUUAAUGUGUACAAGCACCCAUUUAAUUGCAAUUAAUGGUAAUUGUUAAGCAUCAAAUAAAUCAGGAAAUCAUUUUGAUGAAGUGCAGCAAGUACGUACCCCUUGAGUUCAAUUGCCAUAUCCAAAGGAAAUAUGCUGUCGUGUUCUCCCCAGACUAACAACACAUCCUAAAUGCCAAAAGACAAUUCAAACCAGAGUAAGUUAGAUGAACUAAAAUGUAUAUGUCCAAUAGGAAAAAUAGUUGAAUUUAAUCAAAUUCAGAUUGGAAUUGAAAUUAAAUCAAAAUUAAAAAAUAAAUCUACCAUUCAUUCUUGAUUCUAUGAACCUUAAAAUGGAUUCGACAGUUCCUAUAACUGUAUAAUUCAUCCAGUGCAACCAAGUAUCUUCCAUAUCAAAAUUCUAACUGUGGUUUGAGAGUUACCUGUUGAAGUGGAGAAAUAUUUACUGUUUCAUCUCGUCCAAGGGUUAACCCCUUGAGAAGUUCCAACUUUUCACUCCUGUUCUCUGCAUACAAUUUCUGCAUCCACAUAAAAAAAAAUAAAAAAGCCCAUUUGCCCUUGGAAAAUACGGAUCAGCAAUUCAGGUAGAAAGGUUUUCUCAGUGCUCACUAGCUCUUAACUCAGUAUUGAAACAGGUUGAUACCCUUUACAGGUAAAAAUCCUUGUCAAUUAUUGACACAACUAUGGCUGCUAGUUCAAGAAUAUACCCUCAGUGAAUCAACAGAGAAGUAAAUGACACAGCUCCAUAGCAAUUUUUAAUUUUAAUUAGUUCAGCUUUUCUAUGUUCAAAAGAAAUUAUAAAAUGUCAAUCAUUGCAGUAAUUAAAAAGCAUUAAUUGAGCUAUCAACCAAAAAGACUUUCUGGCGUUGCCGACUUGCAUAGGUAAGCAUCCACACCUAACUGGGAAACUGCGUAAUAUUCAAUUAAAGCAUUUUCUUGACAUUUGUAUCUGCCAAGUUGAUUUUCUUAAUUUAACGUUGAAAAAGAAAUCAGGUUAGAGAAGAAAACGAAAUAUAUCUUUUCCUUAACUUAAUUACUACUAAUUGUGAACUUCUAAUUAAUUACCAUUUUUGGGUUUCAAAAAUCAAGAAAGAAAGAGAGCAGCUUGGUGCAUAAUUUUGUAUGCCUCUGACUGUAUGUUCACUGAAUAAGAAAUUGUUAGUUAAAUGCUUACGGAAAUGAAGUCUUUCAAGAAAAAGUCUGGAAUCAUAUGGAGACGACUGAGCCUGAACACGGCCAGGCCAAUCAAAGCUCUCAAAUGUGAGGCCUCCUUUGGCAGCAUAAGAUCGCCAAUACUGUCCAACUUAGACUUCCUUAUCAACUCUUCGUUAUCACUUUUCCUCAUGUUAACCCCAGAGCUCGCUAUCACCACCUUCUCUACCCUCUCUGGCCACAUCCUCGCCAUGUGGUACGCUACGAACCCACCAUAGCUGGUGCCCACCACAGAAUAUUUCUCCACUCCCAACUUUUGUAGCAACUUCGAAACGGAAUCUGCCUGGAAGAUCUCUGAUCUUGCAGAGGACUUUGUUGUUGAUUCUCCGAAGAAUAUUAAGUCUGGGACGUAGAGGUUGAAGUGAGAUGAAAAGAACUGAACCUGCCGGCGCCAUUGCCAGAGAGCGGCUGGACCGAAGCCGUGGAUGAAGACGAGAGAUGGUUUGUGGGCAGAGGUUUGAUUAUCAGGAUUUUGGCUCCAGAAAUGGAUGGUGGUGUCGUUGUCAAUGUCGAUGGCGUGGCGGGAGAGGCCGGAGGAGGUGAAGCAGAGACGGAGAUAGGAAGCGUAUAGUGAUAUAGGGCUGAGAAAAGACAGUGCCAUUGGAUGGAGUGGCCAGGCUAGAGAGUAAAGGAUUGAAAUUGAGAGAAACAAACGGUCACUUCGGUGGUUGUCUGUUGUUCUUCUUUUUGUUAGUUGUUAAUUUAAGGGUCAAUUUCAUUACCUGGCCUCUUAGGUUGAAAAAAGUUACAGUACAUACAUUUUCAAGAAUGGUGUCCCUAGCUAGGUGAAGGUCAUAUAUAUAUAUAUAUAAAGAUCCAUUCAUUAAUCUUAUAAAAUUAAUAUACAUAUUAAGGAAUUGUUUUUUU